AUGGCCGCCCCCGCCGUCGCCGCUGCGCCGUCGGCCCGCAAGGGAGAGACCUACACCGACACCAAGCGCCGCGACGACGUCCGCGGCGCCAACAUCGCGUCCGCGCGCUCGGUCGCCGACGCGGUGCGCACCUCCCUCGGCCCCCGCGGCAUGGACAAGAUGAUCUCCUCGGGUGACCAGGAGGUCAUCAUCACCAACGACGGCGCCACCAUCCUCUCGCGCAUGUCGCUCCUCCAGCCCGCGGCCCGCAUGCUCGCCGAGCUCUCCCGCUCGCAGGACGCGGCCGCCGGCGACGGCACCACCACCGUCGUCGUCAUCGCCGGGGCCCUGCUCCGCCGCGCGCAGUCGCUCCUCGCGGCCGGCGCCCACCCCACCGCCGCCGCCGACUCCCUCCACCGCCUCGCGGCCCGCGCCGUCCAGGUCCUCGAGGGCAUGGCCAUCCCCAUCGAGCUCACCGACCGGGACUCCCUCGUCAAGUCUGCCUCCACCGCGCUCAACUCCAAGGUCGUCUCCCAGUACUCCGGCCUCCUCGCCCCGCUCGCUGUUGACGCCGCCCUCUCCGUGGUCGAUCCCGCCCACCCGGAGCUUCUUGAUCUCCGCGACAUCCGCAUCAUAAAGAAGCUCGGCGGCACUGUCGAUGACACCGAGCUUGUCCGCGGCCUUAUCUUUGACAAGAAGGCCAGCCAUGCUGCCGGGGGGCCAUCUAGGAUCGAGAAUGCCAAGAUCGCUGUCAUCCAGUUUCAGAUCUCACCGCCCAAGACUGAUAUUGAGCAGAGCGUCAUCGUGUCAGACUAUGCGCAGAUGGACCGCAUCCUCCGCGAGGAGCGGAAUUACAUCCUAGGGAUGGUCAAGAAGAUCAAGGCUUCUGGGUGCAAUGUCCUCCUCAUCCAGAAGAGCAUCUUGCGUGAUGCCGUGACCGAGUUGUCGCUGCACUAUCUCGCAAAGGCCAAGAUUCUGGUGGUCAAGGAUGUAGAGAGGGACGAGAUUGAGUUUAUCACCAAGACUCUCAACUGCCUGCCAAUUGCCAACAUUGAGCAUUUCCGUGAGGAUAAGCUUGGGUAUGCUGAUGUUGUCGAGGAAGUGUCUGCUGGAGAUGGCAAGAUUGUCAAGAUCACCGGGAUCAGGGACAUGGGGAGGACUGCAACUGUGCUUGUCCGUGGGUCCAACCAGUUGGUUAUUGAUGAAGCUGAUCGCAGUCUCCAUGACGCCCUAUGUGUCAUCAGGUGCUUGGUGAACAAGAGGUUUUUAAUUGCUGGUGGCGGUGCUCCGGAAAUAGAAAUGUCAAUGCAACUGGCUGCUUGGUCAAAGGAGCUCCAUGGGAUGGAGAGUUACUGCAUCAAGGAGUUUGCCGACGCACUUGAGGUCAUCCCUUACACACUGGCUGAGAAUGCAGGGCUCAACCCAAUCGCCAUUGUUACCGAGCUAAGGAAUCGCCAUGCCAAGGGUGAGAAGAACACGGGCAUCAACGUGAGGAAAGGCCAGAUCACAAACAUCCUGGAGGAGAAUGUCGUGCAGCCGUUGCUUGUGAGCACGAGCGCCAUCUCGCUGGCGUGCGAGUGCGUUAGAAUGAUCUUGAAGAUUGAUGAUAUAGUCACUGUAAGGUAA
Molecule: ribosomal RNA, 1605 nt
Filed under: Triticum aestivum (bread wheat)
Lineage: Eukaryota; Viridiplantae; Streptophyta; Magnoliopsida; Poales; Poaceae
Description: partial small subunit ribosomal RNA
Source: RNAcentral